GACGAACGCUGGCGGCGUGCUUAACACAUGCAAGUCGAACGGAAAGGCCCUGCUUUUGUGGGGUGCUCGAGUGGCGAACGGGUGAGUAACACGUGAGUAACCUGCCCUUGACUUUGGGAUAACAUCAGGAAACUGGGGCUAAUACCGGAUAGGAUCUCCUGCUGCAUGGUGGGGGUUGGAAAGUUUCGGCGGUUGGGGAUGGACUCGCGGCUUAUCAGCUUGUUGGUGGGGUAGUGGCUUACCAAGGCUUUGACGGGUAGCCGGCCUGAGAGGGUGACCGGCCACAUUGGGACUGAGAUACGGCCCAGACUCCUACGGGAGGCAGCAGUGGGGAAUAUUGCACAAUGGGCGGAAGCCUGAUGCAGCAACGCCGCGUGCGGGAUGACGGCCUUCGGGUUGUAAACCGCUUUCGCCUGUGACGAAGCGUGAGUGACGGUAAUGGGUAAAGAAGCACCGGCUAACUACGUG
This 468-nucleotide ribosomal RNA is filed under the name uncultured bacterium. RNAcentral's name for it is "partial 16S ribosomal RNA". It matches the Rfam family "Bacterial small subunit ribosomal RNA", at positions 28 to 507 of the family's 1533-position model. The record is from RNAcentral.